AGCGGCAGGCUUAAUACAUGCAAGUCGUGGGGCAGCACAGUGUAGCAAUACAUGGGUGGCGACCGGCAAACGGGUGCGGAACACGUACGCAACCUUCCUUUAACUGGAGAAUAGCCCGGGGAAACCCGGAUUAAUACUCCGUAACAUUAUGAAGUGGCAUCACUUUAUAAUUAUAGCUCCGGCGGUUGAAGAUGGGCGUGCGUCUGAUUAGGUAGUUGGCGGGGUAACGGCCCACCAAGCCUACGAUCAGUAACUGGUGUGAGAGCACGACCAGUCACACGGGCACUGAGACACGGGCCCGACUCCUACGGGAGGCAGCAGUAAGGAAUAUUGGUCAAUGGACGCAAGUCUGAACCAGCCAUGCCGCGUGGAGGAUGAAGGUCCUCUGGAUUGUAAACUUCUUUUAUUUGGGAAGAAACCACCGAUUUCUAUUGGUGUUGACGGUACCAGAUGAAUAAGCACCGGCUAACUCCGUGCCAGCAGCCGCGGUAAUACGGAGGGUGCAAGCGUUAUCCGGAUUCACUGGGUUUAAAGGGUGCGUA
RNAcentral lists this ribosomal RNA (542 nucleotides) under uncultured Bacteroidota bacterium. RNAcentral's name for it is "bacterial SSU rRNA". It matches the Rfam family "Bacterial small subunit ribosomal RNA", at positions 38 to 573 of the family's 1533-position model. Lineage: Bacteria; Pseudomonadati; Bacteroidota. The record is from RNAcentral.